CCUACGGGGGGCAGCAGUGAGGAAUAUUGGUCAAUGGGCGCGAGCCUGAACCAGCCAAGUCGCGUGAGGGAAGACGGUCCUAUGGAUUGUAAACCUCUUUUGUCGGGGAGCAAAAGACGCCACGCGUGGCGUUCCGAGAGUACCCGAAGAAAAAGCAUCGGCUAACUCCGUGCCAGCAGCCGCGGUAAUACGGAGGAUGCGAGCGUUAUCCGGAUUUAUUGGGUUUAAAGGGUGCGUAGGCGGAUUUUUAAGUCAGCGGUAAAAUGUCCGGGCUCAACCCGGGCCGGCCGUUGAAACUGGGGAUCUGGAGUGGGCGAGAAGUAUGCGGAAUGCGGGGUGUAGCGGUGAAAUGCAUAGAUAUCACGCAGAACUCCGAUUGCGAAGGCAGCCUGCCAAGCCAUGACUGACGCUGAUGCACGAAAGCGUGGGGAUCAAACAGGAUUAGAUACCCCUGUAGUC
This 459-nucleotide ribosomal RNA is filed under the name uncultured bacterium. Its description in RNAcentral is "partial 16S ribosomal RNA". It matches the Rfam family "Bacterial small subunit ribosomal RNA", at positions 338 to 795 of the family's 1533-position model. The record is from RNAcentral.